AAUAGAUACCCCGGUAGUCCACCCCGUAAACGUUGGGAACUAGUUGUGGGGUCCAUUCCACGGAUUCCGUGACGCAGCUAACGCAUUAAGUUCCCCGCCUGGGGAGUACGGCCGCAAGGCUAAAACUCAAAGGAAUUGACGGGGACCCGCACAAGCGGCGGAGCAUGCGGAUUAAUUCGAUGCAACGCGAAGAACCUUACCAAGGCUUGACAUAUAGAGGAAACGGCUGGAAACAGUCGCCCCGCAAGGUCUCUAUACAGGUGGUGCAUGGUUGUCGUCAGCUCGUGUCGUGAGAUGUUGGGUUAAGUCCCGCAACGAGCGCAACCCUCGUUCUAUGUUGCCAGCACGUAAUGGUGGGAACUCAUGGGAUACUGCCGGGGUCAACUCGGAGGAAGGUGGGGAUGACGUCAAAUCAUCAUGCCCCUUAUGUCUUGGGCUUCACGCAUGCUACAAUGGCCGGUACAAAGGGCUGCAAUACCGUAAGGUGGAGCGAAUCCCAAAAGCCGGUCCCAGUUCGGAUUGAGGUCUGCAACUCGACCUCA
This 542-nucleotide ribosomal RNA is filed under the name uncultured bacterium. RNAcentral describes it as "bacterial SSU rRNA". It matches the Rfam family "Bacterial small subunit ribosomal RNA", at positions 777 to 1320 of the family's 1533-position model. The record is from RNAcentral.